Molecule: ribosomal RNA, 504 nt
Filed under: uncultured bacterium
Lineage: Bacteria
Description: partial 16S ribosomal RNA
Rfam family: Bacterial small subunit ribosomal RNA
Source: RNAcentral
GAUGAACGCUAGCGGCAGGCUUAAUACAUGCAAGUCGUGGGGCAGCAGGGUUGUAGCAAUACAAUCGCUGGCGACCGGCAAACGGGUGCGUAACACGUACGCAACCUUCCCGUUACUGUGGCAUAGCCCAGGGAAACUUGGAUUAAUACCACAUAUUAUAUUGGAGAGGCAUCUCUCUGAUAUCAAAGCUUCGGCGGUAACGGAUGGGCGUGCGGUUGAUUAGGUAGUUGGCGGGGUAACGGCCCACCAAGCCUACGAUCAAUAGCUGAUGUGAGAGCAUGAUCAGCCACACGGGCACUGAGACACGGGCCCGACUCCUACGGGAGGCAGCAGUAAGGAAUAUUGGGCAAUGGACGCAAGUCUGACCCAGCCAUGCCGCGUGAAGGAUUAAGGUCCUCUGGAUUGUAAACUUCUUUUCUCUGGGGCGAAAACCAGCUAAGCUUAGCUAUUUGACAGUACCAGAGGAAUAAGCACCGGCUAACUCCGUGCCAGCAGCCGCAGUAA